GGGGAAUAUUGGGCAAUGGGGGAAACCCUGACCCAGCAACGCCGCGUGAGUGAAGAAGGCCUUCGGGUUGUAAAGCUCUGUCAUUAGGGAAGAAGAAGUGACGGUACCUAAUGAGGAAGCCCCGGCUAACUACGUGCCAGCAGCCGCGGUAAUACGUAGGGGGCGAGCGUUGUCCGGAAUUACUGGGCGUAAAGGGUGCGUAGGCGGCGUGUUAAGUUGGAUGUGAAAUACCCGGGCUUAACCAGGGGGGUGCAUUCGAUACUGGCAGGCUAGAGUGCAGGAGAGGGAAGCGGAAUUCCUAGUGUAGCGGUGAAAUGCGUAGAUAUUAGGAGGAACACCAGUGGCGAAGGCGGCUUUCUGGACUGUAACUGACGCUGAUGCACGAAAGCGUGGGGAGCAAACAG
RNAcentral lists this ribosomal RNA (404 nucleotides) under uncultured bacterium. RNAcentral describes it as "bacterial SSU rRNA". It matches the Rfam family "Bacterial small subunit ribosomal RNA", at positions 356 to 775 of the family's 1533-position model. The record is from RNAcentral.